AAGUCGUAACAAGGUUUCCGUAGGUGAACCUGCGGAAGGAUCAUUACUGAGUAUUUGUCUUUUUAAGACAUCUCUCUAUCCAUAAACUCUUUUUUUUAAAAAGACAUGAUUUAUAACAAUUAGUCUGAAUGAUUAUUUUUAAAUCUUCAAAACUUUCAACAACGGAUCUCUUGGUUCUC
Molecule: unclassified non-coding RNA, 179 nt
Filed under: Lipomyces kononenkoae
Lineage: Eukaryota; Fungi; Ascomycota; Lipomycetes; Lipomycetales; Lipomycetaceae
Also listed under: 1 other name
Description: partial contains small subunit ribosomal RNA, internal transcribed spacer 1, and 5.8S ribosomal RNA
Rfam family: Eukaryotic small subunit ribosomal RNA (bases 1-46)
Source: RNAcentral